RNAcentral lists this ribosomal RNA (469 nucleotides) under uncultured bacterium. RNAcentral's name for it is "partial 16S ribosomal RNA". It matches the Rfam family "Bacterial small subunit ribosomal RNA", at positions 27 to 507 of the family's 1533-position model. The record is from RNAcentral.
GGACGAACGCUGGCGGCGUGCUUAACACAUGCAAGUCGAACGGAAAGGCCCUGCUUUUGUGGGGUGCUCGAGUGGCGAACGGGUGAGUAACACGUGAGUAACCUGCCCUUGACUUUGGGAUAACUUCAGGAAACUGGGGCUAAUACCGGAUAGGAGCUCCUGCUGCAUGGUGGGGGUUGGAAAGUUUCGGCGGUUGGGGAUGGACUCGCGGCUUAUCAGCUUGUUGGUGGGGUAGUGGCUUACCAAGGCUUUGACGGGUAGCCGGCCUGAGAGGGUGACCGGCCACCUUGGGACUGGGAUACGGCCCAGACUCCUACGGGAGGCAGCAGUGGGGAAUAUUGCACAAUGGGCGGAAGCCUGAUGCAGCAACGCCGCGUGCGGGAUGACGGCCUUCGGGUUGUAAACCGCUUUCGCCUGUGACGAAGCGUGAGUGACGGUAAUGGGUAAAGAAGCACCGGCUAACUACGUG